Molecule: long non-coding RNA, 1946 nt
Organism: Micropterus dolomieu (smallmouth bass)
Lineage: Eukaryota; Metazoa; Chordata; Actinopteri; Centrarchiformes; Centrarchidae
Exons: 7
Source: RefSeq, a predicted model, not a curated record
UUUAAAAAGCGUUUUUCCUUAUUAGACCCUUCCGUCAGUGGAACCGCACGAGUGGCUUAAGUUAGCGUUACUACGUUACCAGUCACUGCUAUUAAAAGCAGACGAUUGUCUUUCUUACGGGAGGGGCGGGGAAAUCGCUAUCUUUGGUGUUACGGGCUCUCCCUAUGCUAUGUAACGUUAAUGAGGAUUCUUGAAGUAGCUUUUCUCUGAUAUUCAAACUUCUCUGGCGUUGGUCGAUGCACCGUCCUUGCGCGACGCAAAACAUGGAAAUUAACUUAAGGGUUUUAUAGCGCAGCGGUGCCGUUGUCGCGGUGUGAGCGCAGCGCACAUUGCAUCCUAUCUGUAAGCCUAGGUGAGCUUGUCCCGCAGUUGUCGCUAGCAUCAGGGCUAUCACACUCACAUUUUGUCAGUUGCUGGUUAGCAAAACACGGGAGCUUAGCUUAGGUCUCAAGUGUACGUCAUUCACUGACUGUGGGAUAAUGAUGUGGACACCUACAAACAAAGCUAGACAACAAAGAACCAUGCCAGAAAAUAAUCCGCUUUCUCUAUGAGGCUGUGGCACAAUACACAAUGUAUCCCACAACUUCCGAAUAUGUUCAAGUUGUAAAAAUGCUGAUUGUGAAAUAUCCUUUCCUGAAGGAUCUCAAGGGAAAUGGUUAUCAUACAUGGCACAUGUCUCUGAGGCGUAAAUUCUAGUGGAAGCGUGCACCUCUUGUUGACAACAGUGAACUGAGAGGUAGUAAGGAGAAGUUUGGCCACAAAAAAUCAAAGCAACUUGUAUAAACAGCAAGGACCAAUCAGAGAAAUGUGUUCAAGGCACCAAGUGUUGUGGGUGAGGAUCCAUCCUCCAUUGAGGCUCACGUGAAGGUCUUGCAUAGCCAGUACCAGAAGAUGCAACCUGACUUCAGGAUUUUACGGGACCAAAUGCAGUAGAUGUUUGCAUGGCGGCAAAAGGAGAUUGCUGAUGGCAUGACUGUAGAGGACACAUUGCGUGAUGUGUUGGAACGUAUCCAUCCAGCAACAGGGAACUUGUGUCAGCGAUUCAAUGAAGGCUUCAAAUGUAUUGUACCAAAGGUGCUUCACCUAGCUCAAGGGAAAUCCCCACUAUUCCACUUUACCUGGAGACAAAAGAAGAAGCUCUCACUGAGGAUCUUCCAGAUAUUGACUUUAGGGCACCCCUCAUCUUUCUACCUUACAUCUUCAAGGACUACAGUGAUUGCUUUAUUACACUUGGAGAGGUAUGUCUUGCUUGCUCAGAUCUCUUUUGUUCACCUCCAUAACACCAAAUACACUUGACAAACGUACUGAUACUGAGAAAGAAAAUCACAUUGUUAAUACUACAUAUCUCUACUUAAAGGAAUACUUAAUCCACUUUUAAAUGUUUCAUUUCUUUUAAGUGGUAUGUAAAGUGGUAAUGAAGCUGAUCACCUCAUCAUAGUUGCUACGCUGAAGACUUGGAUGGUCCUAUUGCUUUUUGUCUUCCACCAUUGUUAACUUACUUUAGAAUCAUUAGUUCUUGCUUAAAUCCAGUUUAAACAGCAAUUCAUAUCUGUUUUUGUGUGAAAGGAAAAGGCAGAAGUUUAUUGAGUACAUAAGCACAAUAAAAAAUAAAAUUUUACUCUAAUUGUGUAAAAUGAACACCCAAAACAAAAUCUAAUUUACUAGCUGUCUGCACAGCACAUCAGAAUAUAUUCACAUUCUAAUUAUAAACUACUAUUUGAGCAUAUAAUGUGUAAAGAAAGAAAGUAGAUGAUGCAUGUGCUUGGCAAUCUGGAGUAUCUACCCAAUAACACAAUGCUAAUUAUUGCUAUUUUAUUUUUUUAUCACUGAACAACAUCACAACAGCCUCACAUUCCUCCUUAAAGAGCAAGUGCAAAAUGUCAGAAUGGAUUAACCUUUUGUUCAUUACUAGAUUUGUGAGGUAUUAAAGAGGUGGUAUUAUGCUU